UGGGGAAUAUUGCACAAUGGGCGCAAGCCUGAUGCAGCCAUGCCGCGUGUGUGAAGAAGGCCUUCGGGUUGUAAAGCACUUUCAGCGGGGAGGAAGGCGAUAAGGUUAAUAACCUUGUCGAUUGACGUUACCCGCAGAAGAAGCACCGGCUAACUCCGUGCCAGCAGCCGCGGUAAUACGGAGGGUGCAAGCGUUAAUCGGAAUUACUGGGCGUAAAGCGCACGCAGGCGGUCUGUCAAGUCGGAUGUGAAAUCCCCGGGCUUAACCUGGGAACUGCAUUCGAAACUGGCAGGCUAGAGUCUUGUAGAGGGGGGUAGAAUUCCAGGUGUAGCGAUGAAAUGCGUAGAGAUCUGGAGGAAUACCGGUGGCGAAGGCGGCCCCCUGGACAAAGACUGACGCUCAGGUGCGAAAGCGUGGGGAGCAAACAGG
RNAcentral lists this ribosomal RNA (429 nucleotides) under Chloroflexota bacterium. Its description in RNAcentral is "Chloroflexi bacterium partial 16S ribosomal RNA". It matches the Rfam family "Bacterial small subunit ribosomal RNA", at positions 355 to 776 of the family's 1533-position model. The record is from RNAcentral. Lineage: Bacteria; Bacillati; Chloroflexota.